UACGUAGGUGGCAAGCGUUGUCCGGAAUUAUUGGGCGUAAAGCGCGCGCAGGCGGUUUCUUAAGUCUGAUGUGAAAGCCCACGGCUUAACCGUGGAAGGUCAUUGGAAACUGGGAGACUUGAGUGCAGAAGAGAAGAGCGGAAUUCCAGGUGUAGCGGUGAAAUGCGUAGAUAUCUGGAGGAACACCGGUGGCGAAGGCGGCAUUCUGGACCAUAACUGACACUGAGAGACGAAAGCCAGGGGAGCAAACGGG
Molecule: ribosomal RNA, 253 nt
Filed under: uncultured bacterium
Lineage: Bacteria
Description: partial 16S ribosomal RNA
Rfam family: Bacterial small subunit ribosomal RNA
Source: RNAcentral